Molecule: ribosomal RNA, 253 nt
Filed under: uncultured Eubacteriales bacterium
Lineage: Bacteria; Bacillati; Bacillota; Clostridia; Eubacteriales
Description: uncultured Clostridiales bacterium partial 16S ribosomal RNA
Rfam family: Bacterial small subunit ribosomal RNA
Source: RNAcentral
UACGUAGGGGGCAAGCGUUAUCCGGAUUUACUGGGUGUAAAGGGAGCGUAGACGGCAGCGCAAGUCUGGAGUGAAAUGCCGGGGCCCAACCCCGGGAGUGCAUUUGAAACUGUCUGGCUAGAGUGCAGGAGAGGUAAGUGGAAUUCCUAGUGUAGCGGUGAAAUGCAUAGAUAUUAGGAGGAACACCAGUGGCGAAGGCGGCUUACUGGACUGUAACUGACGUUGAGGCUCGAAGGCGUGGGGAGCAAACAGG